CUCACACCUUUGACCUCACCUUUUGUCAUGCAACUCUUGGGGUCAGAGUGAGCCACGUUUUCAUUUGGACUUUCUCCAUUUGCAGGUGCCUUGGAAACUGUGUGGAUCUGGCUGGGAGUCCCUAAAACGUAUUAUUAUUGGGCUUUUGUAUAUUUAUCACUAUUUAUGGGGUGCUAAACACGUGUGUGAAGGGAGUUCAGUCCCGUUCGCUGGUGCAUCAUCAACUUGCGAAUGAAUGAGCGCAUGACCUCUAUUUCUCCCAGGUCCCCCCUUUACGCAAAAAGAAGUUGAGGCUCAGAGAGCUGAAGGGACUUACUUUGGUUACACAGCAGUCACAUCCAGGCCUUCCUUUUCUAUUUCCUCCUCAGAGUCAAGGUUGGUUUGACACUCUGCCAGUCACCAGCUCACCCUGAGAAAGCAUAAUGCAGUCAUCAGCUAGGAGGACAGAACUACCUGUCCCAGGUUGGACGUCAGCACUGCCAACACAUGGUGACACCCACACACUGUGACACACACACACACACAUGCUUGGGCCACACACAAGCCUCCCCAGUCUCCCCAGGUCCAGACGAGGAGCGGGAAUGGAGGGGGGAGCCCGCGGGGAUGGGGACACAGUGAGUCUCUCCCUGUGCAGGCCCCACUCCACCCUACGCCACACCACAGACAACGGAGGAAAGGGUCCAGGUGAGCUUCAGACCACGUCUGAGCCAGCCACACCCAUGGAACACAAAGAAGUCUCUCAUUACAGAAAAGGAAAUCUGACCCAGCGAUUCCCCUGCUUAAAACACCUUUCAGUGACGCGUUUGGCAGGAGGCGGUGGAGGCAGUGAGCAUUUGGAUCCAGGGAACAUUCCACGUUCUAGAACAAUCAUCUGUUUAUUGAUUGAUUUAGCAAGCAUUUAAUUACCACUUCCUGUGUGCUCCGCACAUGUUACUUCAUCUUCGCAGCAAGCUUUUAGGACCGUGUAUUUGUUCUGCUUUAUUAUGAACCACCCCAACCUUAGUGGCUUCAA
RNAcentral lists this long non-coding RNA (1012 nucleotides) under Suricata suricatta (meerkat). Its description in RNAcentral is "lncRNA (ENSSSUG00005011213.1)". The record is from RNAcentral. Lineage: Eukaryota; Metazoa; Chordata; Mammalia; Carnivora; Herpestidae.